UGAGCAAUCUGCCCUUCUCAUCGGAAUAACCAUUGGAAACGAUGGCUAAUGCCGAAUAUGACCUCGGAUCACAUGUUCUGAGGUGGAAAGCUCCGGCGGAGAAGGAUGAGCUCGCGGCCUAUCAGCUAGUUGGUGUGGGUAAUGGCCCACCAAGGCGACGACGGGUAGCCGGCCUGAGAGGGUGACCGGCCACACUGGGACUGAGACACGGCCCAGAUCCUACGGG
This 226-nucleotide ribosomal RNA is filed under the name uncultured bacterium. RNAcentral's name for it is "partial 16S ribosomal RNA". It matches the Rfam family "Bacterial small subunit ribosomal RNA", at positions 118 to 345 of the family's 1533-position model. The record is from RNAcentral.